GGGGUUGUAGCUCAGUGGUGGAGCGCUUGCCUCAUAAGUAAGAGGUACUUGGUUCUAUUCUCAGCACCA
Molecule: transfer RNA, 69 nt
Filed under: Ictidomys tridecemlineatus (thirteen-lined ground squirrel)
Lineage: Eukaryota; Metazoa; Chordata; Mammalia; Rodentia; Sciuridae
Description: Spermophilus tridecemlineatus (thirteen-lined ground squirrel) tRNA
Rfam family: tRNA
About the family: Transfer RNA (tRNA) molecules are approximately 80 nucleotides in length. Their secondary structure includes four short double-helical elements and three loops (D, anti-codon, and T loops).
Source: Rfam by way of RNAcentral